GACGAAGGGGGCUAGCGUUGCUCGGAAUCACUGGGCGUAAAGCGCACGUAGGCGGCUUUUUAAGUCAGGGGUGAAAUCCUGGAGCUCAACUCCAGAACUGCCUUUGAUACUGGAAAGCUUGAGUCCGGAAGAGGUGAGUGGAACUCCGAGUGUAGAGGUGAAAUUCGUAGAUAUUCGGAAGAACACCAGUGGCGAAGGCGGCUCACUGGUCCGGUACUGACGCUGAGGUGCGAAAGCGUGGGGAGCAAACAGG
This 253-nucleotide ribosomal RNA is filed under the name uncultured bacterium. RNAcentral's name for it is "partial 16S ribosomal RNA". It matches the Rfam family "Bacterial small subunit ribosomal RNA", at positions 524 to 776 of the family's 1533-position model. The record is from RNAcentral.